This 292-nucleotide ribosomal RNA is filed under the name uncultured bacterium. RNAcentral's name for it is "partial 16S ribosomal RNA". It matches the Rfam family "Bacterial small subunit ribosomal RNA", at positions 505 to 796 of the family's 1533-position model. The record is from RNAcentral.
GUUUAAGCCGCCGCGGUAAUACGUAGGUGACCAGCGUUGUCCGGAUUUACUGGGCGUAAAGAGCGCGCAGGCGGUCGUUCAAGUCGAGUGUGAAAGCCCCCGGCUCAACUGGGGAGGGUCAUUCGAUACUGAUCGACUGGAAGGCAGGAGAGGGAAGCGGAAUUCCCGGUGUAGUGGUGAAAUGCGUAGAUAUCGGGAGGAACACCAGUGGCGAAGGCGACUACCUGGCCUGUUCUUGACGCUGAGGCGCGAAAGCUAGGGGAGCAAACGGGAUUAGAAACCCGGGUAGUCC